GGAAGAACAAAUAAUAGGAAGAAUAGAACACCGUUAAAAGAACAAUAGCAAAGGUAAAAGUUUAGAAAAAAUAAAACAUCCAGUUAUAUGCUUAUGCUAUAUUCUUCAAUGAUUUUUCAUUUACAUUGUUUAAAUUUUCUUUCUCUUCUUUAGUCAGGAAAAAUAAAACAGAUGAAAGAUACACAAUAAUCAAUAAUGGAUUAAAGUUUUGGGAGACUGUGAGUACUAUUCUGUUUUGUGGGUUUCAAGAGAGUUGUACACAUUUUAAUAUGAUAUAAAAGUAGUAAUCAAGAUCAAGUACAGCUUGCAAGCUGUACAACUAUAUGAAGAUCAAGAUCAUUUACACAAUUUAAUAUGAUAAAAGAGUAGUAAUAAAGUACAAAAGUACAACUU
This 393-nucleotide long non-coding RNA is filed under the name Trifolium pratense (red clover). RNAcentral's name for it is "long non-coding RNA (TPRA_LNC011097)". The record is from RNAcentral. Lineage: Eukaryota; Viridiplantae; Streptophyta; Magnoliopsida; Fabales; Fabaceae.